This 252-nucleotide ribosomal RNA is filed under the name uncultured bacterium. RNAcentral describes it as "partial 16S ribosomal RNA". It matches the Rfam family "Bacterial small subunit ribosomal RNA", at positions 524 to 776 of the family's 1533-position model. The record is from RNAcentral.
GACAGAGGAUGCAAGCGUUAUCCGGAAUGAUUGGGCAUAAAGCGUCUAUAGGUGGCUUUUUAAGUUCGCCGUCAAAUCCCAGGGCUCAACCGUGGACAGAUGGCAGAAACUACUAAGCUGGAGUACGGUAGGGACAAAGGGGAUUUUCGGCGGACGAUGAAAUGCGUAGACAUCGAAAGGAACACUCACGGUGAAAGCACUCUGCUGGGUCGACACUGACACUGAGAGACGAAAGCUAGGGGAGCAAAUUGG